This 437-nucleotide ribosomal RNA is filed under the name uncultured bacterium. Its description in RNAcentral is "partial 16S ribosomal RNA". It matches the Rfam family "Bacterial small subunit ribosomal RNA", at positions 28 to 507 of the family's 1533-position model. The record is from RNAcentral.
GAUGAACGCUGGCGGCAUGCCUAACACAUGCAAGUCGAACGGGAAGACGUGUUUCCAGUGCCGAUCGGGUUAGUGACGCGUGAGAACCUGCCCUUGGGAUGGGAACAACAACUGGAAAGGGUUGCUAAUACCCCGUAGGCUGAGGAGCAAAAGAUGAAAUCCGCCAGAGGAGGGGCUCGCGUCUGAUUAACUAGUUGGUGAGGUAAUAGCUUACCAAGGCGAUGAUCAGUAGAUGGUGGGACAGGAUCAUCAGCCACACUGGGACGGAGGCAAGCAGUAGAGACCUUCGGGAGACAGCAGUAGGCAAGUUUCAGCAAUGCGGGAAAGCCGAACAAGGCAAUGGGGCGGGGAAGCGGAAUUCUUAGGGGACGACAACUGCGUUUCUCGGAGAAGAAACAAUGACGGUAUCUGAGGAAUAAGCAUCGGCUAACUCCGUG